GUAUUCACUUGGGCAGCACAUAAACUUAAAUUGGAACUAUACAGACAAGAUUAGUAUGGCUCCUGCCAAAGGAUGAAAUACUAAUUUAUGAAGUGUUCCAUAUUAAA
This is a small nuclear RNA of Suncus etruscus (white-toothed pygmy shrew), 107 nucleotides long. The record is from RefSeq and is a predicted model, not a curated record. NCBI's taxonomy places the organism in Eukaryota, Metazoa, Chordata, Mammalia, Eulipotyphla, Soricidae.